Molecule: ribosomal RNA, 1405 nt
Filed under: Natronomonas salsuginis
Lineage: Archaea; Methanobacteriati; Methanobacteriota; Halobacteria; Halobacteriales; Natronomonadaceae
Description: bacterial SSU rRNA
Rfam family: Archaeal small subunit ribosomal RNA
Source: RNAcentral
GGGCCGGUUGAUCCUAAAAGAGGCCAUUGCUAUCGGAAUCCGACUUCGCCAUGCGAGUUGUGGGUAUAACGUAGCAAAACGCUCAGUAACACGUGGCCAAACUGCCCUAUGGACUGGGAUAACCUCGGGAAAAUGAGGGUAAUCCCGGAUAGUACAUCCAACCUGGAAGUGGCGGAUGUGUGGGGAAAAGCUCCGGCGCCAUAGGAUGUGGCUGGGGCCGGUUAGGUAGAGACGGUGGGGGCCCACCGUGCCGAUAAUCGGUACGGGGCAUGGGAGUGAGAUCCCGGAGGCGGCAUCUCGGACACGAGUCCGGGCCCUACGGGGCGCAGCAGGCGCGAAACCUUUACACUGCACGCCAGUGCGAUAGGGGGGACACCCCGUGCGAGGGCAUAGAGCCCUCGCUUUUGUAGACCGUUAAGGGUCUACGAAUAAGGGCUGGGCAAAGACCGGUGCCAGCCGCCGCGGUAACACCGGCAGCCAAGUGAUGGCCGAUAUUAUUGGGCCUAAAGCGUCCGUAGCUGGCCGCGCAAGUUCGUCGGGAAAACCACUCGCUUAACGAGUGGGCGUCCGGCGAAAAAUGUGCGGGUUGGGGCCGGAAAAUCCAAGGGGGACGUCCGGGGUAGGAGUGAAAUCCCGUAAUCCUGGACGGACCACCGAUGGCGAAAACACCUUGGGGGGACGGAUCCGACAGUGAGGGACGAAAGCUAGGGUCUCGAACCCGAUUAGAUACCCGGGUAGUCCUAGCCGUAAACGUUGCCCGCUAGGUGGUGGCGCAGGGUUGAGCCUGCGCUGUGCCGUAGGGAAGGCCGUGAAGCGAGCCGCCUGGGAAGUACUCUGCAAGGAUGAAACUUAAAGGAAUUGGCGGGGGAGCACUACCCCCGGAGGAGCCUGCGGUUUUUUUGGACUAACGCCGGGCAUCUCCCCAGCUCCGACAACAGUAAUGACGAUCAGGUUGAUGAACCUUAUCCGACGCUGUUGAGAGGAGGUGCAUGGCCGCCGUCAGCUCGUACCGUGAGGGGUCCUGUUAAGUCAGGCAACGAGCGAGGCCCGCACCUCUAGUUGCCAGCAGCAUCUCGCGAUGGCUGGGUACACUAGGGGGGCUGCCGUCGCCAAGACGGAGGAAGGAACGGGCAACGGUAGGUGGGUAUGCCCCGAUUGAGCUGGGCUACACGCGGGGCUACAAUGGCCAAGACAGUGGGAGCGACACCGAGAGGUGAAGCUAAUCUCCUAAACUUGGUCGUAGUUCGGAUUGUGGGGUGAAAAACGCCCCCAUGAAACUGGAUUCGGUAGUAAUCGCGUGUCAGAAGCGCGCGGUGAAAACGUCCCUGCUUCCCUUUUGCAACCGCCCGUCAAAACACCCGAGUGGGGUCCGGAUGAGGCUAGGGGUAAGUCGGGAAAUCGGGGU